Long non-coding RNA from Raphanus sativus (radish), 1006 nucleotides. RefSeq lists it as uncharacterized. The transcript is spliced from 2 exons. NCBI's taxonomy places the organism in Eukaryota, Viridiplantae, Streptophyta, Magnoliopsida, Brassicales, Brassicaceae. The record is from RefSeq and is a predicted model, not a curated record.
AUUUUCUCGCAUCUCUAGUCCCUAAGUCCAAGAUUCUCCGCCGAUUUGAAGAAACUCUAACCCGGACAACUACUCUCCUCCUCCUUCUUGUUGAGGUCACUGUUGAAUCACCACUCUCCAUGAUUUAAAGAUAAAAACAAAAAAUUGAUAGCACGAAUACACAAUCGUCUUCUCCUCAAAGUAAUCAAACAUGGUGGAGGCAGCAGGAGAAGGAGAGGUUCGCAUGUUUCUUGCCGCAGCGACUCCGAGUUCGUGUAAAAGGCACGGUGGCUACUUUAAUGUCUUCGUCUAGGUAAAUAAAGCUUCAAAGACACAUCCCCUGUACACAAGUCGUCCAUCUCCAACUACCCAGUCCACACCUCCCUUGUCCACAUGUACACACAUCUCAUGUACACAACUUGUCCAUCCCCAACUCCUUAGUCCACACCUCCCUUGUCCGCCCAACAGGACAACCCCGUUCCACACUCCACAAAUCCCUGCUGAGCUAACUCAAAGCUCCCCUACACAGCUCCCCGUACACAACUACCUCCCCUACACACGUCCGUCGUACACACUUCCCUGAUCACGCUUUAUCCGUCCACAACACUCCUGUCCACAAGUAUCCCCUACACAACACCACCGUCCACAACACUCCUGUCCACAAUAAUUCUGUCCACAUCACUCGCAAACACAAAACACCAAUCAUCAACCCACCAAGCUUCUCCUAAUCCUCCUCUCUUCCCGUUGUUGGAGCUAUGACAUGGCUCUAUAGGAAGCUCCUCUAAGCAAUACAAUUAAGACACCCUCUUGGUUGUUUUUUAUGUUACAUAUUUUUGUUUUUCCCUUCAUCGGCUUUAGUGUAUGUUUUGCAUUUGUCAUGUUCAUGAACGCCUUUUACAAUGUAAUGGUCAUAUAGAAACUCAUCUUUAGCUUCUUUAAUCUACAUAAUUUUCCACUGGCUUGUUUACUAUUUUGUUAGUUUCAAAGAAACACUAAAUGGUGCUCAACUAAACCACAAUUGUUUUUU